This 253-nucleotide ribosomal RNA is filed under the name uncultured bacterium. RNAcentral describes it as "partial 16S ribosomal RNA". It matches the Rfam family "Bacterial small subunit ribosomal RNA", at positions 524 to 776 of the family's 1533-position model. The record is from RNAcentral.
GACGUAGGGCGCGAGCGUUGUCCGGAUUUAUUGGGCGUAAAGAGCUCGUAGGCGGUCCGUCACGUCCGCUGUGAAAACCCAGGGCUCAACCCUGGGCUUGCAGUGGAUACGGGCAGACUAGAGGUAGGUAGGGGAGAAUGGAAUUCCCGGUGUAGCGGUGAAAUGCGCAGAUAUCGGGAGGAACACCGGUGGCGAAGGCGGUUCUCUGGGCCUUACCUGACGCUGAGGAGCGAAAGCGUGGGGAGCGAACAGG